AAGUCCUAAUUAUACACCUAAUUGGCUAAUUCACUCUAAUUAAACGAAUAAAGCACAACUAAUCCUAAUUGAAUUAAAUCUAAUUCUAAUUAAAGUAAACCUAACCCACAACAACCAGUUGCCGUCGCCCUUACCACCUGCUAGUGUCUACUAUCAAACCAUUGCUCAGCAGACUCUGCCACAACCAUCUCUUCAAUCUCCUCCGCUGCCACCAGCAAACCAACGGCCAACAAACAAUCAAAUGACCAAAAUGACCCCGUCUUUGUAAUCACCUUCAAGAAUGUCCGUCCGAUGUUUAUGUGGCUGAGAAAAAUGAAACAUGAUGGUUGGUCUGCAAAAUGAAACCUAGAUGGUUUGUUCGUGGGGCUGAGAAAAAUGAAACCCAUAUGGUUCGUCUGCAAACGAACCAUCUGGGUUUGUCGAAUUCACUGACAGCCACCUCAAAAGCCACCAGCAAGCACCCAUCAGCAACCAUAUGCAAAGAAGAAAAAUAAGCGAUAACAACGAAACCAACAAAGCAACGAAAAAUCUUCUCCUUCACAACGCCGGAAGAACAAACAGUUUAUGUCUUCGUCGUCGAUGAAGAUGAACCAGACAAACCAACUACUGGUUCGCUGCUUCGUCGAAGACGAAGACCCAGUUGUUCAUUACUUCGGAAAAUGGCAUGUUUUCAAGGUUAGCGAUCCGGUGAAGGGGUGACAUGGGGAGGUAGACAAAAAUGGAGAACAAGAUGAAGGUGAUGACGGUAAAGAAAAAUGGAGAAUGAAGAAUAGGGUUUAGUCAAAACGGGCAAAAAUAGUCCCUCAAAUUUUAUUUAAAUUGUAAACAGAUUUUUGAACUUUUUAAAUUACAAUUAUAAAUAAAAUUUAGAAAUAGUUAAAUGUUAAUUUGAGAAAUAAACAAAAUAUAAAGGGUCUUUUUAAAUUUUUUU
Molecule: long non-coding RNA, 931 nt
Organism: Mercurialis annua (annual mercury)
Lineage: Eukaryota; Viridiplantae; Streptophyta; Magnoliopsida; Malpighiales; Euphorbiaceae
Exons: 2
Source: RefSeq, a predicted model, not a curated record